GACGAACGCUGGCGGCGUGCUUAACACAUGCAAGUCGAACGGAAAGGCCCUGCUUUUGUGGGGUGCUCGAGUGGCGAACGGGUGAGUAACACGUGAGUAACCUGCCCUUGACUUUGGGAUAACUUCAGGAAACUUGGGCUAAUACCGGAUAGGAUCUCCUGCUGCAUGGUGGUGGUUGGAAAGUUUCGGCGGUUGGGGAUGGACUCGCGGCUUAUCAGCUUGUUUGUGGGGUAGUGGCUUACCAAGGCUUUGACGGGUAGCCGGCCUGAGAGGGUGAACGGGAAGAUGGGGACUGAGAUACGGACCAGACUGCAACGGGAGGCAGCAGUGGGGAAUAUUGCACAAUGGGAGGAAGCCUGAUGAAGAAACGCAGCGUGCGGGAUGACGGCCUACGGGUUGUAAACAGCUUUAGCAUGUGACGAAGCGUGAGUGACGGUAAUGGGUAAAGAAGCACCGGCUAACUACGUG
This 468-nucleotide ribosomal RNA is filed under the name uncultured bacterium. RNAcentral describes it as "partial 16S ribosomal RNA". It matches the Rfam family "Bacterial small subunit ribosomal RNA", at positions 28 to 507 of the family's 1533-position model. The record is from RNAcentral.